RNAcentral lists this ribosomal RNA (433 nucleotides) under uncultured bacterium. RNAcentral's name for it is "bacterial SSU rRNA". It matches the Rfam family "Bacterial small subunit ribosomal RNA", at positions 29 to 507 of the family's 1533-position model. The record is from RNAcentral.
AACGAACGCUGGUGGCAUGCCUAACACAUGCAAGUCGAACGAGACCUUCGGGUCUAGUGGCGCACGGGUGCGUAACGCGUGGGAAUCUGCCCUUGGGUUCGGAAUAACUCAGAGAAAUUUGAGCUAAUACCGGAUGAUGACGUAAGUCCAAAGAUUUAUCGCCCAAGGAUGAGCCCGCGUAAGAUUAGCUUGUUGGUAGGGUAAUGGCCUACCAAGGCGACGAUCUUUAGCUGGUCUGAGAGGAUGAUCAGCCACACUGGGACUGAGACACGGCCCAGACUCCUACGGGAGGCAGCAGUGGGGAAUAUUGGACAAUGGGCGAAAGCCUGAUCCAGCAAUGCCGCGUGAGUGAUGAAGGCCUUAGGGUUGUAAAGCUCUUUUACCAGGGAUGAUAAUGACAGUACCUGGAGAAUAAGCUCCGGCUAACUCCGUG